This 73-nucleotide transfer RNA is filed under the name Felis catus (domestic cat). It matches the Rfam family "tRNA". From Rfam's summary of the family: Transfer RNA (tRNA) molecules are approximately 80 nucleotides in length. Their secondary structure includes four short double-helical elements and three loops (D, anti-codon, and T loops). Lineage: Eukaryota; Metazoa; Chordata; Mammalia; Carnivora; Felidae. The record is from Rfam by way of RNAcentral.
ACCUGGCUGGCUUGGUCAGUAGAGCACAUGACUCUUGAUCUCGGGGUUGUGAGUUCGAGCCUCAUGUUGGGCA